GAGGCGUGAAGUUAAUUUUCCUGUGAGCAGCAACAGCUGAGAACCUCAGAUUCGGUCGCUAGAAGACAAACUAUGGAGGCACGUUUCAUUAUCAGCAUUUGGCUGUUUAUCCACCUGGGUGUGGUGCUGGGUGACUCGGUCCAGUCCAAGGACCCCCAAAUGUCUGGAACAGAAGGAGACCAUGUGGCCCUCAGUUGCUCCUACACUACCAGCUAUCCCUAUUCCCUGUCUCUCUACUGGUACCGCCAGUAUCCCAACCGAGCCCCGCAGUACAUUGAGCAGAGAGGAGGCAAGGGAAACACGUAUGAUCAUACUGCAGAUUUCGCCCAGGAGAGGUUUUCUUCCCAGGCUGAUGACAGCUCCACCCUUCUGAACAUCCCAGUCCUGGAGCCGACAGAUACAGCGAUGUCUUACUGCGCCCUGCAGAGGGCACAGUGACAGAGCCAUAUGGCAGAGCUGUACAAAAACCCUUCCAGCCUUAUUGCAGUUGCGGUUAGGUACAUUGAGGCUGGAAGCAGGGGCCCUUGGCAGAUUUGCUAUACUGUGAUGAAAUUCAGCAUUUGGAGUAGUUUUGGUGGUGUCAAGGUGUAUCUUCCGAUUCCUCCCACAAGCAAAUUCCUGUGCAGACAUAAGAAGGGCUAUACUGGGUCAGACCAAUGGUCCUUCUAGCUCAGUAUCCGACAGUGGCUAAUGCCAGGUGCUCCAGAGUGAGUGAACAGAACAGGUAAUCAUCAAGUGAUCCAUCCCCUGUUGCCCAUUUCCAGCUUCUGACAAACAGGCUCCAGGGACACCAUCCUCGCCCAUCCUCUGUCAGCCUUAGUUUUGCUAGGUAA
Non-coding RNA from Chelonia mydas (Green sea turtle), 833 nucleotides. The record is from the annotation of a RefSeq genome assembly. Lineage: Eukaryota; Metazoa; Chordata; Testudines; Cheloniidae.